ACCGAAGCUUGGGGUGCAUAACUUUGUUAUGCGCGGUAGAGGAGCGUUCCGUAAGCCUGCGAAGGUGACUCGUAAGGGUUGCUGGAGGUAUCGGAAGUGCGAAUGCUGACAUGAGUAACGAUAAUGCGGGUGAAAAGCCCGCACGCCGUAAGCCCAAGGUUUCCUGUUCAACGUUCAUCGGAGCAGGGUGAGUCGGCCCCUAAGGCGAGGCAGAGAUGCGUAGCUGAUGGGAAGCAGGUUAAUAUUCCUGCACCGUCGUAUGAUGCGAUGGGGGGACGGAUCGCGGAAGGUUGUCCGGGUGUUGGAAGUCCCGGUCCUUGCAUUGGAGAAGGCGCUCAGGCAAAUCCGGGCG
Molecule: ribosomal RNA, 352 nt
Filed under: Chaetoceros curvisetus
Lineage: Eukaryota; Bacillariophyta; Thalassiosirophyceae; Chaetocerotales; Chaetocerotaceae
Description: partial Bacterial large subunit ribosomal RNA
Rfam family: Bacterial large subunit ribosomal RNA
Source: RNAcentral